CCUACGGGGGGCUGCAGUCGAGAAUCUUCCGCAAUGGGCGAAAGCCUGACGGAGCGACGCCGCGUGGAGGACGAAGGCCUUCGGGUUGUAAACUCCUGUCACGAGUUAAGAAGGAUCUGCCACGAACAGUGGUAGGUUUUGACGUAAGCUCGAGAGGAAGCACUGGCUAACUCUGUGCCAGCAGCCGCGGUAAUACAGAGAGUGCGAACGUUGUUCGGAAUUACUGGGCUUAAAGCGCACGUAGGCGGCAUCGUAAGUGUCAGGUGAAAUCCCACGGCUCACCCGUGGAACUGCCUGGCAGACUGCGAUGCUCGAGUGUGGUAGGGGAGAGCGGAACUCCUGGUGGAGCGGUGAAAUGCGUAGAUAUCAGGAGGAACACCGGUGGCGAAGGCGGCUCUCUGGUCCACAACUGACGCUGAGGCGCGAAAGCUAGGGGAGCAAACGGGAUUAGAUACCCGUGUAGUC
Molecule: ribosomal RNA, 465 nt
Filed under: uncultured Planctomycetota bacterium
Lineage: Bacteria; Pseudomonadati; Planctomycetota
Description: bacterial SSU rRNA
Rfam family: Bacterial small subunit ribosomal RNA
Source: RNAcentral